AGGUUUUUAUGAAGUGUGGUCAUUUUGUCCAUCUGGACAGUUUAGUUUUACAACUUGGGUUAACGUUAGAAUUCAAUUUGACUUGAGGUGAUGAUAAAUGAUUAGGUUAUGUCUGUAUGAAUUACUGCAUAGCGAGGUCCACUGUACUAUUAGAUUUGAUCACACACAGAGUUUUAAUAUACAGUACCUCUCCAUAUGUGUGCACUGAGGCAUGUAGGAGAGUGAGAUUCCAGAGAGAGUUUUAACGAACUCGAAUGGCGUCACAAAAUACAGUAUGCAAGACUAUUUUAGGCAGGGAGACUAACUGUCGCUUAUGUGUCAUGAAAACCUUGCACCUCCUAUUUUGGACAAAUUUAUCUGGAUGGAUACAUUCUGGAAUAGUUUUUUACUGGCCAUAGUCGCUUUUCAAACCCCAAUAGGCAUGCGAUCUGUUUAAAACAUUGUCUUGAUACCAACAAUGGCUCUCCUUGACAAAUUCUAAAUGUUUUACUUAUUGAAUUAAUUUAUUUGAAAUUGAGGAUUUUCAUCUCAAUUUUGUGCGGUGGACUAGAACCCAAAGGAAGGCAAACGAGACAAGAACGCAACACAACUGUUGCAAUGGUCAGAAUAAUGUAUGACCCAAUGUGCACAUGCACACACAGGUAUGGUAGGCAUGUAUAAUGUUGCAGGCUUGUGGGGAAUGCCUGCCCUGUGAAAGGCUGCAGCUGACAGCUGUCACCUCCUGUGUCAAAAUCUGACCAUCUCUUCCCAGGCUUUCUUCUCCCUGUCUCAGACUCACACACAUUCACUUGACUUUAUCUCUUCUGCUCUUUCUUUCUCCCUCUGUUUCUCACAUCAUGUCUUCUCUUGCACUCUCACACCUUAAUACCAAUGGCACACAUACUGUAACUUCACAUCAUAGACACACCCUGCCCUCUUUGUAAACAGUCCCUCUAGCUUUUAUCAGGGGAUAUUCUUUAAAGCUUUACUUAUCAACAUGCCAAAGUCCAAAGUAACGCUGUGCAGGGUCACUAGCUCACUGAGCCUUUUACAUUUCACCCCUUUGGCCUUUUGCGUGGCUCUUCUACACCCUACUUCAAUUGAACCCUAUUCACAAAGCUUGUUUUUUUCCUCAAAACCUUUAUUGUAUGUCAGACUACAAGAUGCAAACAAGCAAGGAAGACUCUUACGCAGCUCCAAUAUCAAUCCCUUCAUCAUAUAGCUGUGGGCUGCUGGUGUUUUUCUUUUUUUAAUGUCAAAGUUUUCUCCUCCAAUUGUUUGUCUUGUCCCAGCCACAUUCCUGAUGUAGUUGUAAAUGGACAGCUAGGUUAUUAAAAACCGGUAGACCAUGACAACUCCUCACAGGGCGCAAGAAAAGAAUGUCAGUUUGAGGGUAACUAAAAUAAAAGUAAAAAAAAAAAACACUUAGUUGCAAAAGAUAAUAUAUAUUUUUUGAAAACAAGUUUGUUAUAAUUAUUGUUAUGAAGGUGUAUCUUAAAGUUUUCAGGAGAAAGUAGGCAUCAAAAGUUAUAUAUAUUAUAUCACAAAUUCAAUGCUGAUUUGUUCUAAAUGUAUUUUCCCAAUGUUUAAGUCAAGUAAAAUCCAGCAUGUUUUCAUAUGUUUUCAGUUUUUUUAAGGUACUAACUUCCCCUUAACCUGCCUUAAACUUUCACUAAAGGUAGUGAGUCCUUACACUUUCAUGUAAUGUAAGCCGUCAGAGGAAUAGCAUAGUCAGAGCAUGAGUUUGAGUUUACAGAACAAAAGGUUUUGCAGCUGCAUUGUAACAUUAACAUGAUUAUUGACACUACUGCUGGUGUAACUAAAAAGGAAAAGAGAGAACCGGCUAAGGACUGUCCAUUAAAUCGUUAAGCCUUAAAUAGCAAGGCUGAAGAAGAAUAUUUAAAAAGCUAACAUGUUUUAACAGAUCAUGUCCUAAUGAAGACCAUGCUGGUUGAAACAUGUUGGCUUUUUCAUAUUUCCUGCCAGAUGACUCCCAA
Molecule: long non-coding RNA, 1976 nt
Organism: Sander lucioperca (pikeperch)
Lineage: Eukaryota; Metazoa; Chordata; Actinopteri; Perciformes; Percidae
Exons: 2
Source: RefSeq, a predicted model, not a curated record